This 404-nucleotide long non-coding RNA is filed under the name Vigna radiata. Its description in RNAcentral is "long non-coding RNA (VRAD_LNC005613)". The record is from RNAcentral. Lineage: Eukaryota; Viridiplantae; Streptophyta; Magnoliopsida; Fabales; Fabaceae.
AAAUAUCGAGUUUGUCCUUAUUCUUUGCUUUUCACCACUUUCCUACCUUUAUUAGACUAAGUUAGACUUGUUAGGAUGUUUACAUACCUUAGAAUAAGUCUACAUUAGGUGAAUUGACCAAUUAUCACUUUAAAAGGUCACUUUUUAGGUACUUAAGAGUCAAAUUUCGAGUUUUACCUUAUUCUUUGCUUUUCACCACUUUCCUACCUUCAUUAGACUAAGUUAGACUUGUUAGGAUGUUUACAUACCUUAGAAUAAGUAUACAUUAGGUGAAUUGACCAAUUAUCACUUUAAAAGUUCACUUUUUAGGUACUUAAGAGUCAAAUUUCGAGUUUGACCUUAUUCUUUGCUUUUCACCACUUUCCUAUCUUUAUUAGACUAAGUUAGACUAGUUAGGAUGUUUA